Phyllopteryx taeniolatus (common seadragon) is the source of this 280-nucleotide long non-coding RNA. RefSeq lists it as uncharacterized. The record is from RefSeq and is a predicted model, not a curated record. The transcript is spliced from 3 exons. Lineage: Eukaryota; Metazoa; Chordata; Actinopteri; Syngnathiformes; Syngnathidae.
UGGCAAAGAAGAUGUGGUCAAGUCUUGAAUCCUGCACAAUUGAUCCUGCUGGCUCUUCACCUGCUUGCCACUUAAACAGGAAGAUCAAUCCAUGGACAGGCCUGGAAUAGAGCUUGUAAAUGAAAAUGCCUAUCUUCAGUCAAGGGGUUGUGCACAACCAACUUCCGCGUUCAGCAAGAAAGGACAAAGCACUUCCUUCCGGUUCAGGGGCCUCAUGUGCAAAAGGCUCCAGCGCUCCCGCGACCCUUGGAUGGAAUAAGGGGUGCUUUUCAAACUCCAA